GCAGUCGAGCGGACAGAAGGGAGCUUGCUCCCGGAUGUUAGCGGCGGACGGGUGAGUAACACGUGGGUAACCUGCCUGUAAGACUGGGAUAACUCCGGGAAACCGGAGCUAAUACCGGAUAGUUCCUUGAACCGCAUGGUUCAAGGAUGAAAGACGGUUUCGGCUGUCACUUACAGAUGGACCCGCGGCGCAUUAGCUAGUUGGUGAGGUAACGGCUCACCAAGGCGACGAUGCGUAGCCGACCUGAGAGGGUGAUCGGCCACACUGGGACUGAGACACGGCCCAGACUCCUACGGGAGGCAGCAGUAGGGAAUCUUCCGCAAUGGACGAAAGUCUGACGGAGCAACGCCGCGUGAGUGAUGAAGGUUUUCGGAUCGUAAAGCUCUGUUGUUAGGGAAGAACAAGUGCAAGAGUAACUGCUUGCACCUUGACGGUACCUAACCAGAAAGCCACGGCUAACUACGUGCCAGCAGCCGCGGUAAUACGUAGGUGGCAAGCGUUGUCCGGAAUUAUUGGGCGUAAAGGGCUCGCAGGCGGUUUCUUAAGUCUGAUGUGAAAGCCCCCGGCUCAACCGGGGAGGGUCAUUGGAAACUGGGAAACUUGAGUGCAGAAGAGGAGAGUGGAAUUCCACGUGUAGCGGUGAAAUGCGUAGAGAUGUGGAGGAACACCAGUGGCGAAGGCGACUCUCUGGUCUGUAACUGACGCUGAGGAGCGAAAGCGUGGGGAGCGAACAGGAUUAGAUACCCUGGUAGUCCACGCCGUAAACGAUGAGUGCUAAGUGU
RNAcentral lists this ribosomal RNA (782 nucleotides) under Bacillus pumilus. RNAcentral describes it as "bacterial SSU rRNA". It matches the Rfam family "Bacterial small subunit ribosomal RNA", at positions 57 to 823 of the family's 1533-position model. Lineage: Bacteria; Bacillati; Bacillota; Bacilli; Caryophanales; Bacillaceae. The record is from RNAcentral.